Molecule: non-coding RNA, 99 nt
Filed under: bovine gut metagenome
Source: RNAcentral
ACCCAUAGGGGUGCUCUUAUGUUGCUCACAAUGAGCGCAAAGACGCUGAGAACAUACCCUCAAAACUUGAUCCAGGUAAUGCUGGCGAAAGGAGAAAAA